Symsagittifera roscoffensis is the source of this 621-nucleotide long non-coding RNA. RefSeq lists it as uncharacterized. NCBI's taxonomy places the organism in Eukaryota, Metazoa, Xenacoelomorpha, Acoela, Convolutidae. The record is from RefSeq and is a predicted model, not a curated record. The transcript has 3 exons.
AAACGACAGGUCAAACCAACCACUAAAACCAACAACACCACCAAAACCGGCAAAAAAACCAAUCAACAUGACGACCUCGAAACAGUUUACCAGUUCGGCAAAAAUACAAACAGAAACAGUUGAGCCAACUUCCGAUGAAGUUGAAGUAAGACCAAAAUACAAGAUGGAAUCUGGAGCUGCGAACUACCUUGUUGAAGAUAUUCGAAAGAAUGGACGAAAAAAAAUUCUACUGAUCGGGAAAACGGGAUCAGGAAAGAGUUCGUUAUGCAACGUGUUGACUGGUUUGCAGGACAAUUCCGAUGUCUUUAAGACCUCUCCUUUUGCUGCUGCCUGUACAGAGGGAACAAAAUUUGCGAACAUCUUUUUUAAAGGAAAGUAGUAUGAUGUCCUCCAUAAAAACUCACCGGGGGCGAAGUAAUAAGUUAGGGGGUGGGAACGACCGCCUUAGCAAGUUAAAACGGAAGUACAACAGAUUUCAUAACCGGUUAGAGCAAACGUAUGUUCGCCAUAAUGAGGCACAUGGGGGAACAAAAUGUCAUCAAUAGCAGACUACGAGUAUGACACCAGAUUCACAACAAAACAACGUGGUAGGGCAGAAGCUAUAUCGUAUCUCGGACCAAC